Molecule: ribosomal RNA, 547 nt
Filed under: uncultured bacterium
Lineage: Bacteria
Description: bacterial SSU rRNA
Rfam family: Bacterial small subunit ribosomal RNA
Source: RNAcentral
ACUGAAUAGAUACCCUGGUAGUCCACGCUGUAAACGAUGGGUACUAGAUGUUGCAGGAAAUUGACCCCUGCAGUGUCGACGCUAACGCAUUAAGUACCCCGCCUGGGAAGUACGGCCGCAAGGUUAAAACUCAAAGGAAUCGACGGGGGCCCGCACAAGCGGUGGAGCAUGUGGUUUAAUUCGAUGCAACGCGAAGAACCUUACCUGGGUUUGACAUCCCCAGACAGCCCUAGAGAUAGGGUUUCCCCUUCGGGGGCUGGGAGACAGGUGCUGCAUGGCUGUCGUCAGCUCGUAUCGUGAGAUGUCGGGUUAAGUCCCUUAACGAGCGCAACCCUUAUCCCUAGUUGCCAUCAUUUAGUUGGGCACUCUAUGGAGACUGCCGGUGUUAAACCGGAGGAAGGCGGGGAUGACGUCAAGUCCUCAUGGCCUUUAUAUCCAGGGCUACACACGUGCUACAAUGGCCGGUACAGAGGGUCGCCAACCCGUGAGGGGAGCUAAUCUCAUAAAGCCGGUCUCAGUUCGGAUUGAAGUCUGCAAUUCGACUUCA